GCCUACGGGACGCAGCAGUGGGGGAUAUUGCACAAUGGGGGAAACCCUGAUGCAGCGACGCCGCGUGAGUGAAGAAGUAUUUCGGUAUGUAAAGCUCUAUCAGCAGGGAAGAAAAAAGACGGUACCUGACUAAGAAGCCCCGGCUAACUACGUGCCAGCAGCCGCGGUAAUACGUAGGGGGCAAGCGUUAUCCGGAUUUACUGGGUGUAAAGGGAGCGUAGGCGGUUUAGCAAGUCAGAAGUGAAAGCCCGGGGCUUAACUCCGGGACUGCUUUUGAAACUGUUGAACUAGAUUGCAGGAGAGGG
Molecule: ribosomal RNA, 305 nt
Filed under: uncultured bacterium
Lineage: Bacteria
Description: bacterial SSU rRNA
Rfam family: Bacterial small subunit ribosomal RNA
Source: RNAcentral